GGCUCAGGACGAACGCUGGCGGCGUGCUUAACACAUGCAAGUCGAGCGGAAAGGCCCUUCGGGGUACUCGAGCGGCGAACGGGUGAGUAACACGUGAGCAAUCUGCCUUUAGCUUUGGGAUAACCCUCGGAAACGGGGGCUAAUACCGAAUAUUCAUUGACUGUCGCAUGGUGGUUGGUGGAAAGUUUUUCGGCUAGAGAUGAGCUCGCGGCCUAUCAGCUUGUUGGUGGGGUAAUGGCCUACCAAGGCGACGACGGGUAGCCGGCCUGAGAGGGCGACCGGCCACACUGGGACUGAGACACGGCCCAGACUCCUACGGGAGGCAGCGGUGGGAAUAUUGCACAAUGGGCGAAAGCCUGAUGCAGCGACGCCGCGUGAGGGAUGACGGCCUUCGGGUUGUAAACCUCUUUCAGCAGGGACGAAGCGCAAGUGACGGUACCUGCAGAAGAAGCGCCGGCCAACUACGUGCCAGCAGCCGCGGUAAGACGUAGGGCGCAAGCGUUGUCCGGAUUUAUUGGGCGUAAAGAGCUCGUAGGCGGCUUGUUGCGUCGACUGUGAAAACCCGCGGCUCAACCGUGUGGUCUGCAGUCGAUACGGGCAGGCUAGAGUUCGGUAGGGGAGACUGGAAUUCCUGGUGUAGCGGUGAAAUGCGCAGAUAUCAGGAGGAACACCGGUGGCGAAGGCGGGUCUCUGGGCCGAUACUGACGCUGAGGAGCGAAAGCGUGGGGAGCGAACAGGAUUAGAUACCCUGGUAGUCCACGCUGUAAACGUUGGGCGCUAGGUGUGGGGGGCCUCUCCGGUUCUCUGUGCCGCAGCUAACGCAUUAAGCGCCCCGCCUGGGGAGUACGGCCGCAAGGCUAAAACUCAAAG
RNAcentral lists this ribosomal RNA (870 nucleotides) under uncultured bacterium. RNAcentral describes it as "bacterial SSU rRNA". It matches the Rfam family "Bacterial small subunit ribosomal RNA", at positions 21 to 906 of the family's 1533-position model. The record is from RNAcentral.